Molecule: non-coding RNA, 232 nt
Organism: Chiloscyllium plagiosum (whitespotted bambooshark)
Lineage: Eukaryota; Metazoa; Chordata; Chondrichthyes; Orectolobiformes; Hemiscylliidae
Source: RefSeq, a predicted model, not a curated record
AUAAAGAAGACUAUUUAACUAGAUCAACUCGUCGUGAAGAAAUGAGAGAGUUGGCUGAGGUCGUGCAUUAUGCUGAAGUGGAUGUGAGCAAUGCCAGAAAAUGUCCAACUAGUAAUCUUGAAAAUGAAAGUAUCUUGUACGGUCGGAUUCGACAAGCAACAGUUUGAGACAAGAUGACCUACACAACGCUUAAUUUCGCAAACUCAUAGAGAAGACGCAGGCUAGGGGGCGG